Molecule: non-coding RNA, 452 nt
Organism: Parasteatoda tepidariorum (common house spider)
Lineage: Eukaryota; Metazoa; Arthropoda; Arachnida; Araneae; Theridiidae
Source: RefSeq, a predicted model, not a curated record
UCACGAGCUGGGAGUAGGUUUGGAGGGAGAAAGAGCGUCGAGUGCUCUGCUACGUGCAUGUGAGCGAUUCAAAGCUUGUCCUAUUUUUAUUUAGAUUUAUUUAUUUAAAGAAGAUUAGAAAAGGAUCCUUUCUGGAUUAUAACUACAAGGAACAAUUCUAUCAAAGAUGCCGAACACCUGCUGUGUUACCAACUGCAAUGGUAACUAUAAUUCACAAAAUAAAGUACAUAUAUUCAGUUUCCCUAAAAAUGAAGAGUUACUUAAAAAAUGGGUUAAAGCGAUACCAAGAACUAACCUAACUGUGACUAAAAAUACUAAGGUCUGUGAAAGACACUUUCAAUCAGAUGAUAUUGAGUUUGAAACAACGUUCUACAAGGAAUCUACGGAAGAAACCCUCAGAGCUAAAUUGAAAUAUCCACGAUAAAAAGAUGGAGCAGAGCUCUCAAUUUUUC